Nothoprocta perdicaria is the source of this 144-nucleotide long non-coding RNA. RefSeq lists it as uncharacterized. The transcript has 3 exons. The record is from RefSeq and is a predicted model, not a curated record. NCBI's taxonomy places the organism in Eukaryota, Metazoa, Chordata, Aves, Tinamiformes, Tinamidae.
UUAAGUUUAAGAGAAAUUAAGAGAAAGAUGGACACCUGCAAGGCUUUAAAGGAUUUCUGACUGAAAAAGCCCUGACUUCGCAAGCUCUUCAGCUUCCUAGCACUGGACCCUUGCGGGACUAAAGCUGAGAGGGCCUCUUUCUCA